UGAAAAUGCUGUUGCGUUGGCAGACAAGCUUUGGCAAGCUGCUUCAUAGAGGCUGAAAGGAGGUUUUGCUUCCAGCUCCACUCCUCUGCUGGAAUUACUGUCUGCACAGUAAUGGGGGAAUGCAGACCUUUGACUUAGCAGCUCUGGUGCAAAGGGUAAAACAUUCACCUUUGCUAAAGGUUAAAACUGAAAUGCUUUUCUGGCAGCAUAGGUGAAUUUGCACUAAAACAUCAAACUGAGUAGAAGAAAGCGAAGCACUUGAUUCCUCCUGCUGCUCUGGUGGUUGGGAAGAUGGGAUGGAAAAGGAGCCUACUAGAUCCAUGGAUCAGGCAUGUAACAACCCUACAGUGACUGAAGUUCUGAAGUUC
Molecule: long non-coding RNA, 368 nt
Filed under: Gallus gallus (chicken)
Lineage: Eukaryota; Metazoa; Chordata; Aves; Galliformes; Phasianidae
Description: long non-coding RNA NONGGAT004348
Source: RNAcentral